CCUACGGGAGGCUGCAGUGGGGAAUAUUGGACAAUGGGGGGAACCCUGAUCCAGCCAUGCCGCGUGUGUGAAGAAGGCCCUCGGGUUGUAAAGCACUUUCAGUGAGGAAGAACGCCUGGUGGUUAAUACCCAUCAGGAAAGACAUCACUCACAGAAGAAGCACCGGCUAACUCCGUGCCAGCAGCCGCGGUAAUACGGAGGGUGCGAGCGUUAAUCGGAAUUACUGGGCGUAAAGCGCGCGUAGGUGGCUUGAUAAGCCGGUUGUGAAAGCCCCGGGCUCAACCUGGGAACGGCAUCCGGAACUGUCAAGCUAGAGUGCAGGAGAGGAAGGUAGAAUUCCCGGUGUAGCGGUGAAAUGCGUAGAGAUCGGGAGGAAUCCCAGUGGCGAAGGCGGCCUUCUGGACUGACACUGACACUGAGGUGCGAAAGCGUGGGUAGCAAACAGGAUUAGAUACCCCAGUAGUC
This 465-nucleotide ribosomal RNA is filed under the name Vreelandella stevensii. RNAcentral describes it as "partial 16S ribosomal RNA". It matches the Rfam family "Bacterial small subunit ribosomal RNA", at positions 338 to 795 of the family's 1533-position model. Lineage: Bacteria; Pseudomonadati; Pseudomonadota; Gammaproteobacteria; Oceanospirillales; Halomonadaceae. The record is from RNAcentral.